AAGGGCGUAAUUCAACUGGCAGAAUAUCGGUCUCCAAAACCGAAAGGUAAGAGUUCGAAUCUCUUCGCCCUUG
Candidatus Riesia pediculicola is the source of this 73-nucleotide non-coding RNA. NCBI's taxonomy places the organism in Bacteria, Pseudomonadati, Pseudomonadota, Gammaproteobacteria, Enterobacterales, Enterobacteriaceae. The record is from Rfam.